Molecule: ribosomal RNA, 659 nt
Filed under: Cyanea sp. SG_13
Lineage: Eukaryota; Metazoa; Cnidaria; Scyphozoa; Semaeostomeae; Cyaneidae
Description: partial 16S ribosomal RNA
Rfam family: Bacterial large subunit ribosomal RNA
Source: RNAcentral
UUCGACUGUUUACCAAAAACAUAGCCCCGCUUUACCAAUGCGGGGUGCAACCUGCUCAAUGGCUGGGAAUAAAGUUGAAAAACCAUAACACCAGUUAAAUAGCCGCGGUAACUCUGACCGUGAUAAAGUAGCAUAAUCAUUUGUCAUUUAAUUGGUGACUAGAAUGAAUGGUUAAACGAAUCUCUAGCUGUCUCAACAAGAAAUGAAACAAAAUUAAAAUUACAGUGAAGAUGCUGCGGAUAAAUUGCAAGACGAAAAGACCCUAUUGAGCUUUACUGGAUAUUUGUGAACUUCUCUUACCAUAAUAAUAUAAGUGAUCUAUAAAGCAAAUAAGACAGUUUGGUUGGGGCGACCACCUCUAAAAUAGUAACAGAGGAGAUCUAAAGGUUAAAUUUAUGAACGCUAACUUUACUGAAAUAAUAAUAAUUUAAUCAGUUACUAACUAAGUAGGACAUAAUGACCCGCUAUUUUUUAUGUAAAAAAUAACGAUUACAGAAUAAGUUACCAUAGGGAUAACAGGGUAAUAGUUUUCAAGAGUUCAUAUCGACGAAACUGUUUGCCACCUCGAUGUUGAAUUGUGAUAUCCUAAAGGUGUAGCAGCUUUUAAGGGUUGGUCUGUUCGACCAUAAAAAUCUUACAUGAUUUGAGUUCAUUCCGUA